This 361-nucleotide ribosomal RNA is filed under the name uncultured bacterium. Its description in RNAcentral is "partial 16S ribosomal RNA". It matches the Rfam family "Bacterial small subunit ribosomal RNA", at positions 338 to 696 of the family's 1533-position model. The record is from RNAcentral.
CCUACGGGUGGCAGCAGUGAGGAAUAUUGGUCAAUGGACGCAAGUCUGAACCAGCCAUGCCGCGUGCAGGAAGAAGGCUCUAUGAGUUGUAAACUGCUUUUGUACGAGGAUAAAUCCCGAUACGUGAAUCGGGUUGAAAGUAUCGUACGAAUAAGGAUCGGCUAACUCCGUGCCAGCAGCCGCGGUAAUACGGAGGAUUCAAGCGUUAUCCGGAUUUAUUGGGUUUAAAGGGUGCGUAGGCGGUGCGAUAAGUUAGGGGUGAAAUCCCGGGGCUCAACCCCGGCAAUGCCUCUGAAACUGGCGGUCUAGAGAUUAGUAGAGGUAGGCGGAAUGUAUGGUGUAGCGGUGAAAUGCUUAGAGA